Molecule: ribosomal RNA, 492 nt
Filed under: uncultured bacterium
Lineage: Bacteria
Description: partial 16S ribosomal RNA
Rfam family: Bacterial small subunit ribosomal RNA
Source: RNAcentral
AGUGAACGCUGGCGGUAGGCCUAACACAUGCAAGUCGAACGGCAGCACAGUAAGAGCUUGCUCUUACGGGUGGCGAGUGGCGGACGGGUGAGGAAUACAUCGGAAUCUACUUUUUCGUGGGGGAUAACGUAGGGAAACUUACGCUAAUACCGCAUACGACCUACGGGUGAAAGCAGGGGAUCUUCGGACCUUGCGCGAUUGAAUGAGCCGAUGUCGGAUUAGCUAGUUGGCGGGGUAAAGGCCCACCAAGGCGACGAUCCGUAGCUGGUCUGAGAGGAUGAUAAGCCACACGGGAACUGAGACACGGUCCAGACUCCUACGGGAGGCAGCAGUGGGGAAUAUUGGACAAUGGGCGCAAGCCUGAUCCAGCCAUACCGCGUGGGUGAAGAAGGCCUUCGGGUUGUAAAGCCGUUUUGUUGGGAAAGAAAAGCAGCAGGUUAAUACCCCGCUGUUCUGACGGUACCCAAAGAAUAAGCACCGGCUAACUUCGUG